CGUACAGGUGCUGCAUGGCUGUCGUCAGCUCGUGCUGUGAAGUGUUGGGUUAAGUCCCGCAACGAGCGCAACCCCUGCUGCCUGUUGCCACCACGAGAGGUGGGGACUCAGGCGGGACCGCCGGUGACAAACCGGAGGAAGGUGGGGACGACGGUCAAGUCAUCAUGGCCCUUAUGUCCUGGGCUACACACGUGCUACAAUGGCCGGUACAGAGCGCAGCGAGGCCGCGAGGCGGAGCGAAUCGCUUAAAGCCGGUCCCAGUACGGAUUGGAGUCUGCAACCCGACUCCAUGAAGUUGGAAUCGCUAGUAAUCGCGCAUCAGCAUGGCGCGGUGAAUACGUUCCCGGGCCUU
Molecule: ribosomal RNA, 352 nt
Filed under: uncultured Spirochaeta sp.
Lineage: Bacteria; Pseudomonadati; Spirochaetota; Spirochaetia; Spirochaetales; Spirochaetaceae
Description: bacterial SSU rRNA
Rfam family: Bacterial small subunit ribosomal RNA
Source: RNAcentral